This 253-nucleotide ribosomal RNA is filed under the name uncultured bacterium. RNAcentral describes it as "partial 16S ribosomal RNA". It matches the Rfam family "Bacterial small subunit ribosomal RNA", at positions 524 to 776 of the family's 1533-position model. The record is from RNAcentral.
UACGAAGGGGGCUAGCGUUGUUCGGAAUCACUGGGCGUAAAGGGCGCGUAGGCGGCCGAUUAAGUCGGGGGUGAAAGCCUGUGGCUCAACCACAGAAUUGCCUUCGAUACUGAUUGGCUUGAGACCGGAAGAGGUCAGUGGAACUGCGAGUGUAGAGGUGAAAUUCGUAGAUAUUCGCAAGAACACCAGUGGCGAAGGCGGCUCACUGGCCCGGUACUGACGCUGAGGCACGAAAGCGUGGGGAGCAAACAGG